GGCGGGACAGGCGAGGGGGCGCGGCGGCCCCGGGCAGGGCCCCGUGGGGCGGCCCCCGGGCCGACAUCCCCCAGCCUGCAGGCCUGGGGUCCACCGAGGGCGAGAAGCAGGCAAAGCCCUGGGUGAGCAGACCCGAGAAAACCACUCUCCAGCACUGCCCGGCUACGGCCAGCUGCCAGCCCCGAAGGCCAGGCGGAUACGGGAAGAGAAGCCUGCAGGUGGAGACCGCAGGUGAGGACGCAGGCACACGGAAUCCAGCAAGGGAGCCCGGAUUCCUGGGCCCAGCAACGGUAACAGGAGGUAGGGAUGUGGCAGAGCAGAGAAACAGAGGUCAGAGGCACGGCCAAGGAAACUGGGAUCAGGAAGCAAAGGCCGGACUUCCACUCGAGUGAGAGGUGGGUGGCCCUGCGGGGUCCCAGGGUGGGGGGGAGCGGGUG
RNAcentral lists this long non-coding RNA (437 nucleotides) under Dasypus novemcinctus (nine-banded armadillo). RNAcentral's name for it is "lncRNA (ENSDNOG00000050373.1)". Lineage: Eukaryota; Metazoa; Chordata; Mammalia; Cingulata; Dasypodidae. The record is from RNAcentral.